This 492-nucleotide ribosomal RNA is filed under the name uncultured bacterium. RNAcentral describes it as "partial 16S ribosomal RNA". It matches the Rfam family "Bacterial small subunit ribosomal RNA", at positions 29 to 507 of the family's 1533-position model. The record is from RNAcentral.
AGUGAACGCUGGCGGUAGGCCUAACACAUGCAAGUCGAACGGCAGCACAGUAAGAGCUUGCUCUUACGGGUGGCGAGUGGCGGACGGGUGAGGAAUACAUCGGAAUCUACUUUUUCGUGGGGGAUAACGUAGGGAAACUUACGCUAAUACCGCAUACGACCUACGGGUGAAAGCAGGGGAUCUUCGGACCUUGCGCGAUUGAAUGAGCCGAUGUCGGAUUAGCUAGUUGGCGGGGUAAAGGCCCACCAAGGCGACGAUCCGUAGCUGGUCUGAGAGGAUGAGCACACACACUGGAACUGAGACACGGUCCAGACUCCUACGGGAGGCAGCAGUGGGGAAUAUUGGACAAUGGGCGCAAGCCUGAUCCAGCCAUACCGCGUGGGUGAAGAAGGCCUUCGGGUUGUAAAGCCCUGUUGGUGGGAAAGAAAAGCAGCAGGUUAAUACCCCGCUGUUCUGACGGUACCCAAAGAAUAAGCACCGGCUAACUUCGUG